This is an RNA transcript of Brachypodium distachyon (stiff brome), 756 nucleotides long. RefSeq lists it as uncharacterized. The record is from RefSeq and is a predicted model, not a curated record. Lineage: Eukaryota; Viridiplantae; Streptophyta; Magnoliopsida; Poales; Poaceae. The transcript is spliced from 3 exons.
CUUUAAGCCAGCAGGCCAGAUCGGGUGCUGGCCAGGCCAGAGGGCGGAAAGGCCCUUCUCCACUUUAGCUGGCAUAACAUGUAUCGCCACCUCAUCUGGCAGAAAGUACCACAUUUUACUCGAAAGGCAUCUCCACUCAUGCUGCUCUAUCAGAUAGACCAAUUCCUCCUCUCAUGCUGCUCUGUAGAAGCGUGGCCCCUGGUCAACUCCUUUGCUUCUCCUGAUCAAUGUUUCUUCUCCAACAGCAAGUAUACCAAAAUAUCUACAUAUAUCCAGAUGGCUGAUCGACAUUGCUUGUCACAUCGGAGAUGCCAUUAUUUCUAAUCAAAGGGGCCAGCCAAUUGAUCUUGAAGCUGGAGAUGGGACUGCAGGGCUUCAUCAACAAACAGGUUUCUCUCACAAAUCAAUGUUGCUUAUUUUGGUGUCACACCUGCCUAAAUGAUGAGUACCAGAUCCUUAUUUUGCGGAUCUCACUGAUCAUGUGCGCCUGUGCAGGAUACGCCAGGUCGACGCCACGUGUCUUAUGGUUCUAGUUAACUACCAUGCCAGAUUCCCUUGAUUGCAAAAUCUGACCAUGUUGUAGCUUCUUUCCGUUUUUGUGGGAGACCAUGGCUUUACUUAGUUAGUUUCGGUAUACAUCAACAUUGUUAUUCAGGUGAUAAACCUUCCAUUGCUGCUAAAAUCAUAUAGCUAACUAUGAUGAAUAAAUUCAAAGCACAAAAAUUAAUAAGAAUACUGAUAAUCCAAAUUUGCAAA